Molecule: ribosomal RNA, 454 nt
Filed under: uncultured bacterium
Lineage: Bacteria
Description: bacterial SSU rRNA
Rfam family: Bacterial small subunit ribosomal RNA
Source: RNAcentral
UACGGAAGGCAGCAGUGGGGAAUAUUGCACAAUGGGCGCAAGCCUGAUGCAGCCAUGCCGCGUGUAUGAAAAAGGCCUUCGGGUUGUAAAGUACUUUCAGUCGUGAGGAAGGUGUUAAGGUUAAUAACCUUAGCAAUUGACGUUAGCGACAGAAGAAGCACCGGCUAACUCCGUGCCAGCAGCCGCGGUAAUACGGAGGGUGCGAGCGUUAAUCGGAAUUACUGGGCGUAAAGGGCACGCAGGCGGUUAAUUAAGUUGGAUGUGAAAUCCCCGGGCUUAACCUGGGAAUGGCAUUCAAGACUGGUUAGCUAGAGUCUUGUAGAGGGGGUAGAAUUCCAUGUGUAGCGGUGAAAUGCGUAGAGAUGUGGAGGAAUACCGGUGGCGAAGGCGGCCCCUGGACAAAGACUGACGCUCAUGUGCGAAAGCGUGGGGAGCAAACGAGGGAUUAGAUACC